Molecule: ribosomal RNA, 721 nt
Filed under: Rhodobacter sp. Th15
Lineage: Bacteria; Pseudomonadati; Pseudomonadota; Alphaproteobacteria; Rhodobacterales
Description: bacterial SSU rRNA
Rfam family: Bacterial small subunit ribosomal RNA
Source: RNAcentral
GAAGUCUUCGGACUUAGUGGCGGACGGGUGAGUAACGCGUGGGAACAUACCCAAAGGUACGGAAUAGCCUCGGGAAACUGGGAGUAAUACCGUAUGUGCCCUUCGGGGGAAAGAUUUAUCGCCUUUGGAUUGGCCCGCGUUGGAUUAGGUAGUUGGUGGGGUAAUGGCCUACCAAGCCGACGAUCCAUAGCUGGUUUGAGAGGAUGAUCAGCCACACUGGGACUGAGACACGGCCCAGACUCCUACGGGAGGCAGCAGUGGGGAAUCUUAGACAAUGGGCGCAAGCCUGAUCUAGCCAUGCCGCGUGAUCGAUGAAGGCCUUAGGGUUGUAAAGAUCUUUCAGAUGGGAAGAUAAUGACGGUACCAUCAGAAGAAGCCCCGGCUAACUCCGUGCCAGCAGCCGCGGUAAUACGGAGGGGGCUAGCGUUAUUCGGAAUUACUGGGCGUAAAGCGCACGUAGGCGGAUUGACAAGUCAGAGGUGAAAUCCCAGGGCUCAACCUUGGAACUGCCUUUGAAACUGUCAGUCUUGAGUUCGAGAGAGGUGAGUGGAAUUCCGAGUGUAGAGGUGAAAUUCGUAGAUAUUCGGAGGAACACCAGUGGCGAAGGCGGCUCACUGGCUCGAUACUGACGCUGAGGUGCGAAAGUGUGGGGAGCAAACAGGAUUAGAUACCCUGGUAGUCCACACCGUAAACGAUGAAUGCCAGUCGUCGGGUAGCAUGC